GCCCUGAUAGCUCAGUCCGGCCAGAGCGGCUGCCUUGUAAGCAGCGGGUCGCCGGUUCGAAUCCGGCUUGGGGCU
RNAcentral lists this transfer RNA (75 nucleotides) under Mycobacteroides abscessus subsp. abscessus. RNAcentral describes it as "tRNA-Thr". It matches the Rfam family "tRNA". From Rfam's summary of the family: Transfer RNA (tRNA) molecules are approximately 80 nucleotides in length. Their secondary structure includes four short double-helical elements and three loops (D, anti-codon, and T loops). The record is from RNAcentral. Lineage: Bacteria; Bacillati; Actinomycetota; Actinomycetes; Mycobacteriales; Mycobacteriaceae.